This 253-nucleotide ribosomal RNA is filed under the name uncultured bacterium. RNAcentral's name for it is "partial 16S ribosomal RNA". It matches the Rfam family "Bacterial small subunit ribosomal RNA", at positions 524 to 776 of the family's 1533-position model. The record is from RNAcentral.
UACGCAGGGGGCUAGCGUUGCUCGGAAUCACUGGGCGUAAAGGGUGCGUAGGCGGGGCUUUAAGUCAGGGGUGAAAUCCUGGAGCUCAACUCCAGAACUGCCUUUGAUACUGAGGAUCUUGAGUCCGGGAGAGGUGAGUGGAACUGCGAGUGUAGAGGUGAAAUUCGUAGAUAUUCGCAAGAACACCAGUGGCGAAGGCGGCUCACUGGCCCGGUACUGACGCUGAGGCACGAAAGCGUGGGGAGCAAACAGG